UCUCCGUUGGUGAACCAGCGGAGGGAUCAUUACCGAGUUUACAACUCCCAAACCCCUGUGAACAUACCUAUACGUUGCCUCGGCGGAUCAGCCCGCGCCCCGUAAAAAGGGACGGCCCGCCCGAGGACCCCUAAACUCUGUUUUUAGUGGAACUUCUGAGUAAAACAAACAAAUAAAUCAAAACUUUCAACAACGGAUCUCUCGGUUCUG
RNAcentral lists this unclassified non-coding RNA (210 nucleotides) under soil metagenome. RNAcentral describes it as "partial contains small subunit ribosomal RNA, internal transcribed spacer 1, and 5.8S ribosomal RNA". The record is from RNAcentral.